CUCUUAUCCAGAGCGACUUACAGUAGUGAAUGCAUACAUUUCAUACAAUUUCAUACAUUUUUUUUCGUGUGUGUGUGUGUGUGUGUGUGUGUGUGUGUGUGUGUGUGUAAAAUGUGCAGCUUCACUGUUUUCAAGGGAACUGCUUUUUCACAGUCAACCUGAAUCCCAAACAGUGGGCGAAUGUGCUUUUCUCUACAGUUUCCAUGAGGGCAUUCCAUCUGCUUCCUGCCAUUCUUCCACAGGAAAUUCUGGGAACAGCGUCAGACAGGCCAUGGCAACCACUCCCACCUCACACUGAACCCACGGUAGAGGGCAAGUAACUACUAACCACCACUCUAUGCAACACGACGGCAACAUCUCGCUUCCAGGACCUUAACCAUACUCUCUCAUUAACACAGGCAAAUACACACAGACACACACUCAGGCCACAAGUUGAGAGAGCUGCCAUACACGGACACACUCAGAGAGACUCCAUACUCUCUCUAGUACGUUCAUGACAGUGGGUUCUCUUGCCCUGAGUGACCCCACACAUUUUACACAUUCAAUAAUACAUACACACAGUGGGAAUUUGCAAAGCUCCAGACAGAGGAAAAGCUGUGGAUUUGGACAUGGAUCUGCUUCUGUAUCCUGUCCCUCUGCUGAGUGUGUUUCUCCUCAUUCCAGCAGUGACCUCACCCACAACACUGUCAUCCAACACUAUUCAUGUGGCUGGCAGCGUAACCACCCCAACUACAGCCCAUCCAAUGACUGAUGUGACAUCAUCCCCAGCACUCUCACCGCCAGGGAACAACCCUCUUGUGACAACCCUCAGUGUCCUGCAAUCAACAACCUCACCUGGAAAUGACAGCAGUGACAAUGAGGCACCCACAUCCUCACUUCGACUAUCGUGUCCUAAUGUCAGAAGCUCUGCUCAGACUAAAAUACCUAGUACGCACUCACAAGACACUGCUGCUGGACCAGUCUUAGGAUCAACAGCUGCUGCAACAGCAACUACUUCGACCUCUGUGACUUCCCCUGAGGGACCCAAAGGGACACACACAGACAUCCCUCCCACUCAGUCACCGGACAAGAGCCUCACCAUGCUCGCCUUUGGUGUCAUGAGUUUAAUCCUCAUUCUCGUCAUUAUCAUGGUGGUUUUAGUAACAGUGGUCAACCUAAAAGACAAGUGCAGCAACUCCAAGGAGGAAGGUAAAAAGAGCAGUGAUUCUGUGGUGUCUGAAAGCAAUGUCACGUUUAGUGGAGAAAAAGAGAGCAUCACUUUGAUCUCCAUGAAGACCAUUAACACAGAAACUGACACAGACUCCCCCCAGGUCUCCUCCAUUCACAGUACAACACUGGACUAUGAGGAGCAGGAGCUAAACACAGACCUACUGAACAAUAAGCUGGUGUGAAAAUAAAGACCCUAGAUGUUCCGUUCCAAAACACAGAAAUCACCAAACUACUCAAACAAAAUAGUACAGUGAUUGUUCUAUACAUCUGAGAUCAAGUUACCUGGAGUCCACACAGGACCUGAAUUCAUACCUGUGGGGAUAUUAUACAUUAAGCUAGAACUAGGCCUAUCGUUGUGUCUCAUGUUGCCAUUCUAAUACAAAUAUCACAUGUAUUUGUGUGAUGAUAUCAAAACUGCCUUUAUGGAGAUAAUGUUGUGUGUUCUGUUUCAUAUAUUUUGUAAUUUUAUUUCACCUUUAUUUAACCAGGUAGGCCAGUUGAGAGCAAGUUCUCAUUUACUACUGCGACCUGGCCAAGAUAAAGCAAAGCAGUGCGACAAAAACAACACAGAGUUACACAUGGGAUAAACAAACGUACAGUCAAUAACACAAUAGAAAAAUCUGUAUACAGUGUGUGCAAAUUAAGUAAGGAGAUAAGGCAAUAAAUAGGCCAAUAGUGGUGAAGUAUUUCAAAUUUAGCAAUUUACACUGGAGUGAUAUGUGCAGAUGAGGAUGUGCAAGUAGAAAUACUGGUGUGCAAAAGAGCAGAAAAACAAAAACAAAUAUGGGAGGAGGUAGGUAGUUGGUUGGAUGGGCUAUUUACAGAUGGGCUGUUUACAGCUGCAGCGAUCAGUAAGCUGCUCUGAUAGCUGACGCUUAAAGUUAGUGAGGGAGAUAUGUCUCCAACUUCAGUGAUUUUUGCAAUUCGUUCCAGUCAUUGGCAGCAGAGAACUGGAAGGAAAGGCAGCCAAACGAGGUGUUGGCUUUGGGGAUGACCAGUGAAAUAUACCUGCUGGAGUGCAUGCUACGGGUGGGUGUUGCUAUGGUGACCAGUGAGCUGAGAUAAGGCGGAGCUUUACCUAGCAAAAACGUAUAGAUGACCUGGAGCCAGUGGGUUUGGCGACGAAUUGGCGACGAAUAUGUAGCGAGGACCAGCCAAUGAGAGCAUACAGGUCACAGUGGUGGGUAGUAUAUGGGGCUUUGGUGACAAAACUGAUGGCACUGUGAUAGACUGCAUCCAAUUUGCUGAGUAGAGUGUUGAGGCUAUUUUGUAAAGGACAUCGGCGAAGUCAAGGAUCGGUAGGAUAGUCAGUUUUACGAGGGUAUGUUUGGCAGCAUGAGUGAAGGAGGCUUUGUUUCGAAACAGGAAGCCGAUUCUAGAUUUAACUUUGGAUUGGAGAUGCUUAAUGUGAGUCUGGAAGGAGAGUUUACAGUCUAACCAGACACCUAGGUAUUUAUAGUUGUCCACAUAUUCGAAGUCAAAACCGUCCAGAGUAGUGAUGCUAGUCAGGCGGGCGGGUGCGGGCAGCGAUCAGUUGAAGAGCAUGCAUUUCGUUUUACUUGCGUUUAAGAGCAGUUGGAGGCCACGGAAGGAGUGUUGUAUGGUGUUGAAGCUCGUUUAGAAGUUGUUAACACAGUGUCCAAAAUAGGGCCAGAUGUGUACAGAAUGGUGUCGUCUGUGUAAAGGUGGAUCAAAGAAUCACCCACAGCAAGAGUGACAUCAUUGAUAAAUACAGAGAAAAGAGUUGGCUCGAGAAUUGAACCCUGUGGCACCCCCAUAGAGACUGCCAGAGGUCCGGACAACAGGCCCUCCAAUUUGACACACUGAACUCUAUCUGAGAAGUAGUUAGUGAACCAGGCGAAGCAGUCAUUUGAGAAACCAAGGCUGUUGAAUCUGCCGAUAAGAAUACGGUGAUUGACAGAGUCGAAAGCAUUGGCCAGAUCGAUGAAGACGGCUGCACAGUACUGUAUUUUAUCGAUGGCGGUUAUGAUAUCGUUUAGGACCUUGAGUGUGGCUGAGGUGCACCCGUGACCAGCUCGGAAACCAGACUGCAUAGCGGAGAAGGUACGGUGGGAAUCGAAAUCGUCGGUGAUCUAUUUGUUCACUUGGCUUUCGAAGACUUUAGAAAGGCAGGGCAGGAUUGAUUUAGGUUGGUAACAGUUUGGGUCUAGAGUGUCUCCCCAUUUGAAGAGGCUGCUUUCCAAUCUUCAGGAUCUCAGACGGUACGAAAGAGAGGUUGAACAGACUAGUAAUAGGUGUUGCAGCAAUUGCGGUGGAUAAUUUUCGGAAGAGAGGGUCCAGAUUGUCUAGCCCAGCUGAUUUGUAGGGAUCCAGACUUUGCAGCUCUUUCAGAACAUCAUCUGUCUGGAUUUGGGGCUUGG
This 3590-nucleotide long non-coding RNA is filed under the name Salmo salar (Atlantic salmon). RNAcentral's name for it is "lncRNA (ENSSSAG00000093792.1)". The record is from RNAcentral. Lineage: Eukaryota; Metazoa; Chordata; Actinopteri; Salmoniformes; Salmonidae.